UACGUAGGCAGCGGGCGUUGUUCGGAAUUACUGGGCGUAAAGAGUGUGUAGGCGGCGCUCUAAGUUCGGUGUGAAAUCUCUCGGCUUAACUGGGAGGGUGCGCCGGAAACUGGAGUGCUCGAACGUGGGAGAGGAAAGCGGAAUUCCUGGUGUAGCGGUGAAAUGCGUAGAUAUCAGGAGGAACACCUGCGGUGUAGACGGCUUUCUGGACCAUUGUUGACGCUGAGACACGAAAGCGUGGGUAGCAAACAGG
Molecule: ribosomal RNA, 253 nt
Filed under: uncultured bacterium
Lineage: Bacteria
Description: partial 16S ribosomal RNA
Rfam family: Bacterial small subunit ribosomal RNA
Source: RNAcentral